Molecule: ribosomal RNA, 445 nt
Filed under: uncultured bacterium
Lineage: Bacteria
Description: partial 16S ribosomal RNA
Rfam family: Bacterial small subunit ribosomal RNA
Source: RNAcentral
GUGAGGAAUAUUGGACAAUGGGCGCAAGCCUGAUCCAGCCAUGCCGCGUGCAGGAAGACGCAUCUAUGGUGUGUAAACUGCUUUUGUACGGGAAGAAACACUCCCUCGUGAGGGAGCUUGACGGUACCGUAAGAAUAAGGAUCGGCUAACUCCGUGCCAGCAGCCGCGGUAAUACGGAGGAUCCAAGCGUUAUCCGGAAUCAUUGGGUUUAAAGGGUCCGGAGGCGGUUUAAUAAGUCAGUGGUGAAAGCCCAUCGCUCAACGAUGGAACGGCCAUUGAUACUGUUAGACUUGAAUUACAAGGAAGUAACUAGAAUAUGUAGUGUAGCGGUGAAAUGCUUAGAUAUUACAUGGAAUACCAAUUGCGAAGGCAGGUUACUACUUGUGGAUUGACGCUGAUGGACGAAAGCGUGGGGAGCGAACAGGAUUAGAUACCCGAGUAGUCC